RNAcentral lists this unclassified non-coding RNA (329 nucleotides) under soil metagenome. Its description in RNAcentral is "partial contains 5.8S ribosomal RNA, internal transcribed spacer 2, and large subunit ribosomal RNA". The stretch from base 1 to 120 matches the Rfam family "5.8S ribosomal RNA", at positions 35 to 154 of the family's 154-position model. The record is from RNAcentral.
GAUGAAGAACGCAGCGAAAUGCGAUAAGUAAUGUGAAUUGCAGAAUUCAGUGAAUCAUCGAAUCUUUGAACGCACAUUGCGCCCCCUGGUAUUCCGGGGGGCAUGCCUGUCCGAGCGUCAUUACAACCCUCAAGCUCAGCUUGGUAUUGGGCCCCGCCGACCCGGCGGGCCCUAAAGUCAGUGGCGGUGCCGUCCGGCUCCGAGCGUAGUAAUUCUUCUCGCUCUGGAGGUCCGGUCGUGUGCUCGCCAGCAACCCCCAAUUUUUUUCAGGUUGACCUCGGAUCAGGUAGGGAUACCCGCUGAACUUAAGCAUAACAAUAAGCGGAGGA